GGUCUCUUAGCUCAACGGGUAGAGCGUGCGGCUGAUAACCGUGACAUAUUGGUUCGAACCCUUUAGAGACCA
Molecule: transfer RNA, 72 nt
Filed under: Lentilactobacillus fungorum
Lineage: Bacteria; Bacillati; Bacillota; Bacilli; Lactobacillales; Lactobacillaceae
Description: tRNA-Ile
Rfam family: tRNA
About the family: Transfer RNA (tRNA) molecules are approximately 80 nucleotides in length. Their secondary structure includes four short double-helical elements and three loops (D, anti-codon, and T loops).
Source: RNAcentral